AGGACGAACGCUGGCGGCGUGCUUAACACAUGCAAGCCGAGCGGAAAGGCCCUUCGGGGUACUCGAGCGGCGAACGGGUGAGUAACACGUGGGUAACCUGCCCCUUGCUCUGGGAUAACUCCGGGAAACCGGGGCUAAUACCGGAUAUGACACUCGCAGGCAUCUGCUGGGUGUGGAAAGUUUUUCGGCGAGGGAUGGGCCCGCGGCCUAUCAGCUUGUUGGUGGGGUGAUGGCCUACCAAGGCAGUGACGGGUAGCC
RNAcentral lists this ribosomal RNA (258 nucleotides) under uncultured bacterium. Its description in RNAcentral is "partial small subunit ribosomal RNA". It matches the Rfam family "Bacterial small subunit ribosomal RNA", at positions 26 to 288 of the family's 1533-position model. The record is from RNAcentral.